This 445-nucleotide ribosomal RNA is filed under the name uncultured bacterium. RNAcentral describes it as "bacterial SSU rRNA". It matches the Rfam family "Bacterial small subunit ribosomal RNA", at positions 338 to 795 of the family's 1533-position model. The record is from RNAcentral.
CCUACGGGAUGCACCAGUGGGGAAUAUUGCACAAUGGGCGCAAGCCUGAUGCAGCGACGCCGCGUGAGGGAUGACGGCCUUCGGGUUGUAAACCUCUUUCAGUAGGGAAGAAGCGAAAGUGACGGUACCUGCAGAAGAAGCGCCGGCUAACUACGUGCCAGCAGCCGCGGUAAUACGUAGGGCGCAAGCGUUAUCCGGAAUUAUUGGGCGUAAAGAGCUCGUAGGCGGUUUGUCGCGUCCGCCGUGAAAGUCCGGGGCUCAACUCCGGAUCUGCGGUGGGUACGGGCAGGCUAGAGUGAUGUAGGGGAGACUGGAAUUCCUGGUGUAGCGGUGAAGUGCGCAGAUAUCAGGAGGAACACCGAUGGCGAAGGCAGGUCUCUGGGCAUUAACUGACGCUGAGGAGCGAAAGCAUGGGGAGCGAACAGGAUUAGAUACCCUGGUAGUC